RNAcentral lists this long non-coding RNA (199 nucleotides) under Elaeis guineensis (African oil palm). RNAcentral's name for it is "long non-coding RNA (EGUI_LNC001436)". The record is from RNAcentral. Lineage: Eukaryota; Viridiplantae; Streptophyta; Magnoliopsida; Arecales; Arecaceae.
GGAUCCGAAAUCCAUCCAUGUCAAGAAUAAAGAGGGGAAGACAGAAAAAGGAAAUAUAUAAAAGAAAAAAAGAAGAAUUUUUUUAAAAAAAAAAGGGGAAAAGAAAAGAAAGAAGUAAAGAAGAAUAAAUAAAGAGGAAACAAAGAAACGAGGGGAUAAAAAAAGAACAACAAAAAAAAAAAAAAAGAAAAAAAGGAAA